GUUGAUCUCUCGAUCAAGGACUCUGCCUUGUUCUACAAGUUGUCAAUUGUAAUAUAGAAAUCAAUGGUUCAUGAUCGUUUCUGAGAAAUUCCAUGGCUCUACCUCUCGGCAAGCUCACUAUCCUCGUUGGUGCUGGCAUUGUUGGGUCAGUACUUGCUAAGGAAGGACGAUUGCCAGAUGUCUCCGAUUUUUUCUCCGGCGCAUUUAAGAUUGCCUUGAGGCAAAUUCGACAAGAUAAAUCAACCAGUUCAACUCCAAAGCCACGCAAUGAUUCAUUGCUGCAGCAGGUUAAUAGCUUACGGCAGGAACUGCAACUCUUGGCUUCAAAUAGAUCUGUUACAAUUGUGACAUCAAGUGGAUCAGGUUCUAGCAGAUAUACUAUAAUCAUUGUUGUUG
Molecule: unclassified non-coding RNA, 396 nt
Filed under: Hevea brasiliensis (rubber tree)
Lineage: Eukaryota; Viridiplantae; Streptophyta; Magnoliopsida; Malpighiales; Euphorbiaceae
Source: RNAcentral